Molecule: long non-coding RNA, 438 nt
Filed under: Astyanax mexicanus (Mexican tetra)
Lineage: Eukaryota; Metazoa; Chordata; Actinopteri; Characiformes; Acestrorhamphidae
Description: lncRNA (ENSAMXG00005022565.1)
Source: RNAcentral
GCUAGGAACAAAGCGCGUGACCAAGAGCAAGAACCAAGCAGUUUGAUGAUUUUUGCCCAAAAUAUGUCUGAACAAUGGCAAACAAACAGUUAAACCACCUGUGUGACACUUAAAAGCAUCUUUUUUGAGGCUCUUCUUCUGUAUUCUGAAGAGUAACUACAACCAGCUCACAUACUGCACAGCCACUGAAGCCUGGCAGAGGCUGCAUUCAGGAUUAAGAGAGCCGCUCUAUUACCCCGCUCAACACAGCUGUUAAUCACUUACUGACUGUGUUUGAUCUCCUUCAUAUGCUGUAGUUUUUUUUUUUUUACUUUUUUAGGCAUUGUAUAAAUGUUAACGUUGUAGACCUAUUUCACUGAAAUAGUAAUGUAGUUUUUAUAAAAUGCGCUAAAACUUGUCCUUUCAAAUAAACAUAUUUUGACAGCAAUGAAUUAGCCA